UCGGCAGCCAUCAACCACCACCCUACCACCAUCAUUCGACCUUGUUCCAUCCAUUCUAUUACCAUACAAGGGUGCAAGGAGACACACAACGAAGCUUGGUGCGUUCGGAAGUCGAAGGACCGCUCUCGUUUUCUUUUAUCCACCACUUUUCUACACUCGAACUCCCCUAGCCUUGUGCUAGUAGGCGGAUAAACAAUUGAGGGAUUGUGUUAACGUUUAAAAACGCACCCGAAGGUGAGUACAUAGUUCCCCUAUUUUACUGAUUUCAAAUGUUUUGGGGUGAAGUUGCUUAGUCUUGAUUGCGAAUAGGAAGCAUGCUCACUUAGGACCGGACG
Molecule: long non-coding RNA, 335 nt
Filed under: Helianthus annuus (common sunflower)
Lineage: Eukaryota; Viridiplantae; Streptophyta; Magnoliopsida; Asterales; Asteraceae
Description: hypothetical non coding rna
Source: RNAcentral